Molecule: ribosomal RNA, 476 nt
Filed under: Escherichia coli
Lineage: Bacteria; Pseudomonadati; Pseudomonadota; Gammaproteobacteria; Enterobacterales; Enterobacteriaceae
Description: partial 23S ribosomal RNA
Rfam family: Bacterial large subunit ribosomal RNA
Source: RNAcentral
GGUAACACUGAAUGGAGGACCGAACCUACUUACGUUGAAAAGUGAGCGGAUGAACUGAGGGUAGCGGAGAAAUUCCAAUCGAACCUGGAGAUAGCUGGUUCUCUCCGAAAUAGCUUUAGGGCUAGCCUCAAGUGAUGAUUAUUGGAGGUAGAGCACUGUUUGGACGAGGGGCCCCUCUCGGGUUACCGAAUUCAGACAAACUCCGAAUGCCAAUUAAUUUAACUUGGGAGUCAGAACAUGGGUGAUAAGGUCCGUGUUCGAAAGGAAAACAGCCCAGACCACCAGCUAAGGUCCCAAAAUAUAUGUUAAGUGGAAAAGGAUGUGGCGUUGCCCAGACAACUAGGAUGUUGGCUUAGAAGCAGCCAUCAUUUAAAGAGUGCGUAAUAGCUCACUAGUCGAGUGACACUGCGCCGAAAAUGUACCGGGGCUAAACAUAUUACCGAAGCUGUGGAUUGUCCUUUGGACAAUGGUAGGAG